Molecule: ribosomal RNA, 240 nt
Filed under: uncultured Bifidobacteriales bacterium
Lineage: Bacteria; Bacillati; Actinomycetota; Actinomycetes; Bifidobacteriales
Description: partial 16S ribosomal RNA
Rfam family: Bacterial small subunit ribosomal RNA
Source: RNAcentral
AGAGUGGCGAACGGGUGAGUAAUGCGUGACCGACCUGCCCCAUACACCGGAAUAGCUCCUGGAAACGGGUGGUAAUGCCGGAUGCUCCAGUUGAUCGCAUGGUCUUCUGGGAAAGCUUUCGCGGUAUGGGAUGGGGUCGCGUCCUAUCAGCUUGACGGCGGGGUAACGGCCCACCGUGGCUUCGACGGGUAGCCGGCCUGAGAGGGCGACCGGCCACAUUGGGACUGAGAUACGGCCCAG